GCAGGACGGGGAAGCUCUGUGUGCCCGGGACACGCUCUCUGUCUCUCUCUCGCUCGGUGCUCGGGCAGGAAGGUGCGCGGGGCUCUGACCCCCGGCCAUCCCCGAGCGGGGAGCCACGUUCGCCGCCGCCCUGCCGCUGUGCCCCGAGCAGCCUGCCACCUCCGGACACCCCUCUGAGCCACAGCAUCUGUGGGACACUGCACUCAGUGGAUCAGCGUCACGGACCCUGAGAAGUACCUGCACAUGGCACAUUGACUUGAAAGUUAAUCAUAGUUCUGGCCCCAUAUGGUUACAGUGAGUCUGCUUCUCUGUCUGUGGGAGUCCUAAAGGAUACUUGAUAGCUGUCCAAUUUCUUGAGUCACAUCCAAGGUCUAAACUAAGUUACAAGAGAUGAAGAAAAAGUCCAUAUGCAAUACCUGCCAUGAGCAACCAGAGAGGGAAACAGGCAUGACCUCUUGCCUCGUCCUCACCGCAUCUAUUCCAGAGCAGCAAACCGUCACAGACAGUAAGCAACUGCAUGUCUGUCUUG
Catharus ustulatus (Swainson's thrush) is the source of this 529-nucleotide long non-coding RNA. RefSeq lists it as uncharacterized. The transcript has 5 exons. Lineage: Eukaryota; Metazoa; Chordata; Aves; Passeriformes; Turdidae. The record is from RefSeq and is a predicted model, not a curated record.